UAGUCCAGUCGAUUUGUGCAGAUUUUUGACAAAAUUGCUCAGAUUGUGGUAAAAGCAUGAAAUUUGGCAUAGUAGUAGUGUAUGUCAUGGACAACAUUUUAAGCUAUGGACCCAAUCUGAAAGUCGAAAUUGGCGGAAGAGGCGGCCAUUUUAAAAUGGCGGCCGUUUGAUCUCAAUAGAUUAAUAAUGAAAAAUCAUGAAAAUGAUAUUAGAGAAGAUAUUGACAUGAAAUCUGGUUAAUAGAACAGUGCUGAAUCCAAUUGUCUUGUAGAACAAAAGUUUUUGAAAUAUUACCCAUAUUGAAUGGCGGCCAUCUUGAAAAUCUUUUUUUUUUAAGACAAAAUAUAUAGUCAUUACUCGAUAUAAUAAAGAAAAAUGCAUUGUGGAAGAUAUACAAAUGUAUUUGUUGGAGCUAUAUAAACAGGACAAAAUGCGAGCCUAUCCCCUCCCCGAGUUAUUCUUCUGUUUUGUAGCGGGUACAAAAGCAUUAACACUCGGACACGAAGAGGAUCAUAAAAUGAACUAUUACUCUGAAAGCAAUAUUCGUGCAACCGCUUGUUCAAAAUAGAAUAACAGGAAAAUUUUAUUGUAUACGUACAGAUAAAGCAAGAAAAUAUUUGUAUACCUGUCGUUUAUAAUUGUUGGCUGAUUACUGGAUAAUUCGUUUUGUUGAUAUUGUUCAUUUGAAACAACUUUCAAAAACCUUGAUUGCAGACAUAUUGAAUUUUAUAUCAUACAAGUCAUGUUAUAAGAACAUAAACUGCUCAAAUGUUCUCAAUUGACGUUAAAAAUAUCUAACAAUAAAUAAAAUGUACAUGUUUUGUCAAACCACACUCUGUUUAUCAUAUUCUAUCGCAUUGUCCUCCACAUUAACAUAGAGUAGUACAACUUAAUACUGCCUUUACACAUUUGCAUUUCCUUAGUAACCGUGUUCACUUUGACUUAUAAGUUAAGCGCUUGCUGCAGGAAAUUAUUAUAUAGUCAUAUGGUAUAUUCAUCACAGAUGACAAGGACUGUCAUCUGAGGACUUCAUAUAUAUAUAUUUUGAUUUUUUGGUAGCCAUUUUGAAUGAUGGCCAUUUUGAAAACAUGAAUUUCCAAUAUAUCAUUAUUCGCUAAUCUUAUUAAUUCACUGUUUGCAUUCAUACUUUUUUUACUAAUUUAUAUUGGAUAUUUACAAAGAGGUCAGAUAAGGCAUGCGCAUGUUUACAAAAUUAAGAUAUC
Molecule: long non-coding RNA, 1223 nt
Filed under: Mytilus galloprovincialis (Mediterranean mussel)
Lineage: Eukaryota; Metazoa; Mollusca; Bivalvia; Mytilida; Mytilidae
Source: RNAcentral